RNAcentral lists this transfer RNA (84 nucleotides) under Candidatus Apopatousia equi. Its description in RNAcentral is "tRNA-Leu". It matches the Rfam family "tRNA". From Rfam's summary of the family: Transfer RNA (tRNA) molecules are approximately 80 nucleotides in length. Lineage: Bacteria; Bacillati; Bacillota; Clostridia; Christensenellales. The record is from RNAcentral.
GCGGGAGUGGCGGAAUUGGCAGACGCGCAAGUUUCAGGUACUUGUGGGCAACCGUUGCAAGUUCAAAUCUUGUCUCCUGCACCA